UGUUAAAAUUUUCAUCCAAUUGUAUUGUUAAAAGUGGCAUAGCUAACAGAAUAAUUAGACGUGUAUCUCAUGCUAAUGUACAAAAAUAAGUUUUUAAUAGAAGAAAUAAAUAAAAUUUUUAACA
This is a non-coding RNA of Gossypium hirsutum (cotton), 124 nucleotides long. The record is from Rfam. NCBI's taxonomy places the organism in Eukaryota, Viridiplantae, Streptophyta, Magnoliopsida, Malvales, Malvaceae.